GAGUAAUCGGAUAAUCUUUAAAUCUGACAAAAAAAAAAAAUAAACCCUAGAACCAUGAGAUUGAGUGCGAACGGAUUGAAAUUCAAGAAAAUAGCCUGAAAUUUCAUCCCGUUCCAAUGAAAACGGCAUCUCUGUUAUGUUGAUGAGGAAUUACGAGUUACACGUAAAUGGCGAUGAAAUCUAGAGCGAUACGUGAAUGAUAUUCAAUUCCCGAUCAAAAGCAGGCUUCUUGACAUGUAUUCCCAACAAUAUAUGCAAUUGCAGAUCCUGAUCCAAGUAACGGAACUCACCCAACAAAAAUCCAUGAUUAUCAAUCAUCGCCGAGUUGGAAACAUUUGUUGCCCUAAUUUGUGACUCGAAUUCGCGCUUCUUGGAGAAAUAAGCACAGAGAGCAGCAUCAGAGGAAUGAAAUUUCCCUAAAUUGACACGCGAAUUGGUGAUAGGGUUUCGGAUCCGAGCUGUCCACCUGCCAUUCUUUCUCCAAACCCCUUUGUAGCGUUUCGUUGUGGAUUUUGAUUGAUUUGUUGAUAAAAUGGUUUCGGUUUCUUCUGGAUCAUUCGGGUUGUCAUUGUAUCCGAAUACGAUCGUUACCGAUGUCGUAGCUUGUUCCUUCUCAUUAUCAUCCUUCGAUUCCAUUAAAACAGUCAAAGAAACCAGCAAGAAAAAAUUUGACCGAAAGAACCGAUCUAAUGGAUAUUGAGAUAACUGAAUGUUUGAUUUACUAUUUGUGAUUAUGUAUCUAUGAAAUGAAUAAAUCUAAUUGGAUACUAUUGGAUCUU
Molecule: long non-coding RNA, 779 nt
Organism: Lactuca sativa (garden lettuce)
Lineage: Eukaryota; Viridiplantae; Streptophyta; Magnoliopsida; Asterales; Asteraceae
Source: RefSeq, a predicted model, not a curated record